RNAcentral lists this ribosomal RNA (454 nucleotides) under uncultured bacterium. RNAcentral describes it as "partial 16S ribosomal RNA". It matches the Rfam family "Bacterial small subunit ribosomal RNA", at positions 28 to 507 of the family's 1533-position model. The record is from RNAcentral.
GAUGAACGCUGGCAGAAUGCUUAACACAUGCAAGUCUACUUGAACUUCGGUUUGGGUGGCGGACGGGUGAGUAACGCGUAAAGAACUUGCCUCACAGUUAGGGACAACAUUUGGAAACGAAUGCUAAUACCUGAUAUUAUGAUUUUAGGGCAUCCUAGGAUUAUGAAAGCUAUAUGUGCUGUGAGAGAGCUUUGCGUCCCAUUAGCUAGUUGGAGAGGUAACGGCUCACCAAGGCGAUGAUGGGUAGCCGGCCUGAGAGGGUGAACGGCCACAAGGGGACUGAGACACGGCCCUUACUCCUACGGGAGGCAGCAGUGGGGAAUAUUGGACAAUGGACCAAAAGUCUGAUCCAGCAAUUCUGUGUGCACGAUGACGUUUUUCGGAAUGUAAAGUGCUUUCAGUUGGGAAGAAAAAAAUGACGGUACCAACAGAAGAAGUGACGGCUAAAUACGUG